AUCGCUUCUCGGCCUUUUGGCUAAGAUCAAGUGUAGUAUCUGUUCUUAUCAGUUUAAUAUCUGAUACGUCCCCUAUCUGGGGACCAUAUAUUAAAUGGAUUUUUGAGAACGGGGGCCGAUUUCGAAGCUUGCUUCCGUCGCCCUAAAACCAGAGACCUCGCAGAAAUAGCUGGUGUUCCUCA
This is a small nuclear RNA of Hyla sarda, 182 nucleotides long. RefSeq annotates it as U2 spliceosomal RNA. The record is from RefSeq and is a predicted model, not a curated record. The transcript has a single exon. NCBI's taxonomy places the organism in Eukaryota, Metazoa, Chordata, Amphibia, Anura, Hylidae.